This 253-nucleotide ribosomal RNA is filed under the name uncultured bacterium. RNAcentral's name for it is "partial 16S ribosomal RNA". It matches the Rfam family "Bacterial small subunit ribosomal RNA", at positions 524 to 776 of the family's 1533-position model. The record is from RNAcentral.
UACGUAGGGUGCGAGCGUUGUCCGGAAUUAUUGGGCGUAAAGGGCUCGUAGGCGGUUUGUCGCGUCGGGAGUGAAAAUCCAGGGCUUAACUCUGGACUGGCUUCCGAUACGGGCAGACUAGAGGUAUGCAGGGGAGAACGGAAUUCCUGGUGUAGCGGUGAAAUGCGCAGAUAUCAGGAGGAACACCAAUAGCGAAGGCAGCUCGCUGGGACGUUACUGACACUGAGGCGCGAAAGCGUGGGGAGCGAACAGG